GUUCUGUCUGAGAGGAUCUAUUUAGCUAUGUCAUGUACACAUGCGCCACUGCCAUAAAGGGCCGAGACUUUGUUUUGAACAUCGUUGAACUUUCAAUGUAGUUGGAAAGAUUUCCAAGAUCUGUUGACACACACACACAAGGAGAAGACUGAUACUGUUGAUGUGCAGAUGGGGGUGACAGGGUUGUGGGACUUGUUGGGUGGUGGGGAGGAGCUGGAGUUGACCGACUGCAGUGGGGAGACCUGGGCAGUGGACUUGACUGCUUGGAUGGUCCAUGCCCAUGCUGCAAGCUUUAAGGCAAAGGGUGUCAGUGGAGAAUAUGUCAUGAUGAUAACUGUUCUUCAUCGGGCUCUUGGCCUGAUGAAAUGUGGUAUUCGUCCAGUAUUUGUAAUGGAUGGACAGUUUGCCCCAGCUAUCAAAGAGGAUACGCUGCAGCAUCGUAGUCUGAAAAUGAAAGACUGCACUAAAGAAAACCCUACUGACAGGUCAUCCAUGAGUCAUGCAAAUAUCAAGUGUCAACGUUUGUUGGAAUCCCUAGGCCUGCCAGUAAUAGCAAGCAUGGGGGAAGCUGAGAAGACUUGUGCUUAUCUCAAUCAGAAAGGGAUCGUUGAUGCCUGUCUCUCUGAUGACAGUGAUGCCUUCUUAUACGGUGCAAAAACAAUCUACAGGCGCUUUAACUUGGACCAGAAGACUGCAGAAUGCUACAGAAUGUGCGACAUUGAGAGCAGCCUAAAUCUCCAGCGCUCUGAUUUGGUUGUGUUGGGGCUUCUCAGCGGCUGUGAUUACAGCAAAGGCGUAGAAGGCAUUGGAGCUAAGAAAGCAUACAAUCUCAUCUGUAGCAUGAAAGAAAACCAGCAAGCAGGACAGGAAGAUGUUCUUUCCAGAAUUGUUAACUGGAGAAGCAAUGAAGAACUUGAGAAGAUGGUUGAGAAACAGAGGCUGCUAAUGGAGCUCAAGAAGCCAGCACACUGCAGCAUCUGUCGCCACCAAGGUGACAAGCAGCAUCAUUUAAGCAGUGGAUGCAGCAUUUGUGGUACCAAAUUGUUAUGCUUGCCAGAGCCUCGCCGGGACUGUAGUUGUUUGUAUCACCAGCUGGUCAGUGAGGUAACUCCAUACAAACUAGAGCUUGACGCCAGGAGAAGAGCACUGAAGAAUGCUGAUUUUCCUGACAAAAAGCUGAUGGAGGAAUUUUUAAACGAAGACAGUGAGCUGGGCCAUGACUUUUGUGUUCAGUUGUCACUUCCCGACUGGGAGAGACUUGCUGAGGCAUUAGGACAGCACUUUAAUAUGAAUCAUGAACAAAUGAUGAAGAAGAUGAUACCAGUGCUGGCCCACAUGCACUUGCAUGAUACUCUGCCCUAUACCAACACUUCUCCUAAACAGAUUUUAAAGAGCUGUAUAAGGAAAAGGGUGCCCUGUUACCAGAUACACUGGCAACGGUUUGACUUUGACAAGUGGAGCCCAGUUCCCUCCCCACAGGUUGACCUUCAGCUAACCCCUAAAGCUGCAGACAGCAAGGCUGACCCAUACAUUAUUGAUGUGUCACGGACAGUGUUCAGUAAGAGAUACCCUGAAAUGGUCACUUUGUUUGACUCCACUCCGGUCAAGAGAAAAAGAGGGAGAAUACCAUUCACCCCAUCCUGUCGUGAGCAGAAAGAAGAGUCAACAGGUGCUAAGAAAAAGCUGAUCUUUAAUGAGGGGGAGAGUGUCAACUAAGCAUCAGAUUACCUGGAGCUCUAGUCUCCCAUGCAAAGGCAGCCAAAAUGACAUCAUAUUUUUCAUCCCCAAGCACAGGCAGCCAAACAUCCGACACUUGCAGUUCCCUUCAGCAGCAGCUUUUCUCUUGCAUCAUGAGAAAAUAGAAUUGGGCCACAGAUGGAAAAUAAUUUGAAAGUGAGAGUAGGCUGUUUAAAGUACAGCCAGGAUGACAUUUGCCAGAGACAAGAUUUGUACAAAAACAAUUUAUCACCUAAUUUACCCAACAUAUGAGCAAGUUUGUGCUGUGCAAUCUUCAAACAGAAUAUUAACUGUACUAUUACUAAUCCCAAUCGCAUGCCACGCGGAUCACAUGUUAAUAGUAUUAACAGUUGUAUUUGAUAUUAAAGCAUAUUUGACACUUGGUUGGUGGUGAUGGAUGCACCCAUCAUCACUUGCAUGAAGUGGGACUGAUUCCACUGCCAGCAAGGACUCAUGGAGAAACGGAAUACAUCAGUACUGAUAUUCUGCUGCCAACGACCUACAGUAAGUCUCUUGUGGUAGAGACCUAGAUCACAUUUGUUCCACUUGAUGUGUACAGGUUUUUUGGACUGCCUGCAUUAUUUUGUACUACAUGGUUUACAAUAAAGUGAAAAAUUACUCCAAAAUUGAAAACAUAUGCCAUUAAAUUGUUAAAUGAAUAACCAUUUUAAAUCCAGCAGCACAAUCUGUAGCAUACCCCAAGUGAAGGGGAAUGUUACUUAAAAUCAAGCAUGUACUGCAAGUGGCCAAAUGAUUUACUACAGUGUAUACUGCAAGUGGCAAAAUCAUUGACAACAUACUAGCUGUUGCAAGAUUGCUUACGCAACACUGUUUAUGGUAGAACUGUUGAAACUACAUGUUAUGUCAGUGUUCUGUGAAAGAGUAAUGAAGGUGAAGGUAAGAAAUAUGAGAUUUCUUUUUCCUGCCAUAUAUCAGGAGGGUGAAGGUGAAUAUGAACUCUGAUUUUUUAUCAGCAGUUGUAUUUUCAUAAGGCAACUGUAUCUUAAUCAAAUGGCAAUUGAACACAAAGUUUUUGGAGAAAAUCAAUUACUAAUUUUGAAGUUCAAUUUAUACUCAACACAUUUUUUUUAAAAAUGUGCCUGCAGGAGGAAGAACACAGCUAGAUGAGUUGCAGUUAGCAUUUUUUGCUUAUUCUAUGUGAAAAUGUAGAGGUCAUGUUCUUUCAUUUAGACAAUGGUGACAAGCUGUGUGGUGAGUGUUCAUUAGAUCUAGGUAGGCUUCUGAAUGGCUUUCUCUUAUUCUUUCAAGAUCUUUAUGAGUGUCAACACACAUGUACAAAAUGUUGUCAAAAUCAAUGUAAGUUCUCCCCAUCUGUUUUCUCUCACAAUCAGAAUAUCAGCUGCAUACUCGUAUCUGUAUUUUAUCUGACAGGGUUUUUUAUAACUCAGGUACUGUGUGUCCACAUCACAAAAUUUAGAGUAACUGCCAUUCUGCUGACACACUCCAAAAUCUUAAAGCUAUUUCGUCAUAGUUUCAAGACCUAAAGCACAUAUCUCAAAAUAUUGGCUUUUUAUUUUUUUUUGGUUUACUUUUUGAUACUUCGCUAUUUUUAAAUUCACAUACUUUAUAAGUUUUUGGAAAUUGUUGCAUACAGUGCAUUUGGCCUUGUCAUGAUACCCAUAGCGAUGUCACAGCCACUUCAGAUUGAUUGGUUGUUUACCUUUAGAGCUGUUCCAGUAAUACAGAUUGUAUAAUGGCAAGAAAUGAUCUAAUAGUAAUACAAUUCAAAGGAUAAAUAGCCACAAGGGGUUGAACUAAAUGACCUUCUAUAUUACUGGUUACUAGGAUAGUAGAGGCAUUAUUCUUGAUGCCUGUCUGCCAGCAUUCUGUCAUUGGCAAUAGUCUUCACUUUUAACAUUGUUGAUGUUCUAAGUUGAAUUUUCCUUCAUGAAAAGGUCAGCCAUUUACAUGCUGAACUUAAUACCAAUAACUCAGUCCAACUAUCCACCCAUCAUCGGAUACAUGCUAGGAUAUGAACCAAGAUGGUUCAACUGUAUGGCUUUUUUUUUCAGAAGUUGGGGACGGAAGGAUGUUAUUGACAGAAAUGCAUAGUUUGGCAUUUCAUUUGCUUACAUUCGUUGAUAGCUGAAAUUUAAAAAUGAUCACAAACCUUUCUGUUUUUACACUUUCAAUGGCAUUGGAAAAAGUGUCUGUAAUUUUAACAACCCUUGCAAACCCUGUACACAUUAUUGCUAGGCAAGGUUAUCAUUUAAAUUUCAUUAACACAUAUUCUAUUAGUUGAAAGUUAUUAUAGUUUAACUUUGGUAGCCCAUUGAAAACUUCAUUAGAGUUUUACUAGUGUGAUGGUAUUAUGGCUGUGGCUUUGAAGAGACAGUUUGACUACACUCUGGUCAGCAUGCAGUGGGUAGCAUUCUGAACAAGUGGCACAUCCUAAAAUUCUUUUCAAUCUCUUGUAAUCUUGCCCCAUCUAACUUGAGGUCUUGACACUAGACAAACAUCAUCAUUAUCCAUUGUAUAAACUUUUAAGUGAGCUUUGUUUAUUCUUCUCAACCUUAUCACCAGUCCCUGGCAUUACUGGAAAUAUCUGCAAAACUGUCCCUUUUAAAAUUAUGUAGGAUCUUGUUUAACUGAGAAUUUUCUUGUUUUCAAUGUAGACAUUUUCUGUGCUUUUCAAAAUGAUUUUACAAGACAUCUUUAAAAUACACCAUGUUAUGUACCUUUGACUUUUCACAAAAUGGAGUACGUGAUCAUGCCUUCAUUAAUGGUGGCUUGUGGAGUUUUAAAUGAUGACGUCAUCAUCGUUUUAAUGUUGUUUGUAGAAAUGAUCAUGUUUGUCAGUAUUCUUGUCUGUGAUAGCAUGUUUUAUUGUAAGGCUUGAUAAGGAGCUUCUUUGUGUGACAAAUGCACUCUAACUAUACUCCAUUUGGUUGAGUCAUUCAAAGCAUGUUUGCUACUUCUGAUGCUGAAAUACAUGCAGUUGAAAUUCAUUUAUUAACAAUCUGGCAUGAGCACACACACACAAACACACGUUCCCGUCUCAUUCCCCAAAUUUACUACUGGCAUGCUGGGGCAUUCACUAGUCCCCACUCUCUGCUAGUUGCAAGACACACUGGUCAUGUGUGGAUCCAUAAAGUGAUGCUUGUUCACAUGCUGCCGCACUUGUUCACUAUCUAUGUGUCAUUGACGCUGAAGAUGCACUUGCUGUGUAAUCAUGUUUGCAGUAGCGUAGUCCCUGAAGAUACAAAAAUCAGAAUGGUGAAGAAACAUAAGGACUUGUAGCAACAGGACAUUGUUGAAACAAAUGUGCUUAAUAAAAAUUACACCUGGUUACGGGGAAAAAAAAAACAAAAAGCAAUCCUCACUUCAUCUCUUAUGGUAAAUUUUAAUAUACUUUAAAAUUAUGACACGUCUAUUUUCAGGACUAUUUAAAAUAGGAAGUCUAAAGUUUUAAAUGAGUUGUCUUUUGUACAAAUUUUUUAAAAAAAUGAUAAGAAAAAAAAAACCCAACUGAUCUUGAAAGUUUUUUGGUCCACAACCAGAACUAUCAUUGUAAUCACUGUAAAUGCAUUAUAUAUCUGUUUGCUGUUGUACUGUUUGUCAGCACUUUGAGGAACACCAGCCAGCAUUGAUUAACAAUUGUGAGAGAUAAUAAAGCUUUUUCUGUAUUA
RNAcentral lists this unclassified non-coding RNA (5387 nucleotides) under Pomacea canaliculata. RNAcentral describes it as "flap endonuclease GEN homolog 1-like, transcript variant X5". The record is from RNAcentral. Lineage: Eukaryota; Metazoa; Mollusca; Gastropoda; Architaenioglossa; Ampullariidae.